CAACGAGCGCAACCCCUACUGCCAGUUACCAUCAAGGAGACUUGGGGACUCUGGCGGAACUGCCGGUGACAAACCGGAGGAAGGUGGGGAUGACGUCAAGUCAUCAUGGCCCUUAUGUCCAGGGCUACACACGUGCUACAAUGGUCGGGACAGAGCGAAGCGAAGCAGCGAUGCGGAGCAAAACGCAAAAAGCCGACCGUAGUUCGGAUUGGAGUCUGAAACCCGACUCCAUGAAGUUGGAAUCGCUAGUAAUCGCGCAUCAGCACGGCGCGGUGAAUACGUUCCCGGGCCUUGUACACACCGCCCGUCACACCAUCCGAGUAGAGGGUACCCGAAGCCGGCAGCCUAACCCGCAAGGGAGGGCGCCGUCGAAGGUAUGUUUUGUGAGGAGGGUGAAGUCGUAACAAGGUAGCCGUACCGGAAGGUGCGGCUGGAUCACCUCCUUU
RNAcentral lists this ribosomal RNA (446 nucleotides) under uncultured spirochete Rsa403. RNAcentral's name for it is "bacterial SSU rRNA". It matches the Rfam family "Bacterial small subunit ribosomal RNA", at positions 1090 to 1533 of the family's 1533-position model. Lineage: Bacteria; Pseudomonadati; Spirochaetota; Spirochaetia; Spirochaetales. The record is from RNAcentral.